This is a long non-coding RNA of Syngnathoides biaculeatus (alligator pipefish), 3354 nucleotides long. RefSeq lists it as uncharacterized. The record is from RefSeq and is a predicted model, not a curated record. The transcript is spliced from 3 exons. Lineage: Eukaryota; Metazoa; Chordata; Actinopteri; Syngnathiformes; Syngnathidae.
GAUUGAGCGAUCAGUCCGCAGCGUAGUCCGCUUUCGGCCCACAGUCGACCCGGUUGGGCUCCAGCUUUUGCUAACCCGGAACAGGAUAAGCAGUAGAUAAAGAAGAGAUAAACGGAUAAAUUACAGCCCGAUCUGAUGCCGUUCCUAUCAAGCACCUCUGCCCCUCUGACAUUUUACAAACCCGUCGAUGAGAUCGGCGUGAUGCUGAAAGACCAGGAAAGAGGAUGACAUAGACGGACGGUGAACAUUAUCGCACCUUACCUUUUGCUUCAUUUAUAGGAUGUCUUACAGCCGGGGAGAUAUUGAAUAAUUCACCCGGGUAACAGUCGACCCAACACAACACAACCGUUCGCCCUUUCAUUUGUGCAUUUUCUCUACCACGUGUUCCGUUCAUUGUCUGUCUCGAGAUUAGGACGGAAGGUGGUUUUGUCAUUCGAGGUGAUUGUGAAAUGAAGACGGAGUGGACAUCCAUCCCGGAGCAGUCGCGCCGUCUUCUAGAACGUCAAACAAUUUCACGCCGACUGUUUGGAAGUCAGCCGUACGGACCCGCUACGCUGCCGCCAACGGCGCUCGUUCCGUUUAAAAGCCCAAAGUCAUCGAUCGUCACAGUCCCUCGAGUCCAAUUUCACACGUCCUGAUUUAGUCCAUGGGUUGACUUUUAUUGCUAUUGUCAUUCCCGCGCCCACUUUCACAGUCACACACGGCCCCACCUGAUUAAUAAUCAUUUCCAGUGAAAUAUCGAUUCAUCUAUCUAUUAGCGCGACAACGGAUGGGCUUUAAUGGCCCGACGUCAUCAGAGAAGAACUGCGGGUUACGUCGGGGGUGCAAAAUCCACUCUUGAGAACGGAUUCAUUGCAUUUCCAAUUAUCGUAACGUGCGAAUUUGCGUUUUGAGCUAAGAGGGCGGUCACGGAACGAGUUACACUCGUGUCUCAAGGCACCAGAGCGAAGCAGCAAAGCAAAAUAUUGAUUAUGGACAGACAACGGACGCAUUGUGAAGUUCGCUCGUCGGUCGCCAUCUCGCCUCUCGCCUCGAUCGCACGUGCACGUCGCGGUCACCCGCAGUCGCUCCAUUUUGACGGGUUCAACCGGCGCGUGCCCGCCGCUGGACGCUUGAUGGAGACUUUUGCGUUUGUUUCCGCGUCAACGGAGGAAAAUGUUAUGCACACUCGCACUUCUUGGCGAUGGCGUAAUUCCCGGCCUACGGAGCGCACCUGGUUACAAGGCUCCCCGAGUACAUUUGUAAAGGAAAUAACGUUUGGUAUAUACAUACGCCGUGCCCACAUUGAAACACGAAAUAUUUACAAAGAAAUACGGUACACAGAAAGAGUUUAACGCUAGCGCUAACGCUAACAGGGCCGGUUAAAAUAAAACUUACCGGUAAAUAUCAGUGUCGAGCUGCUACUCCUCCGCAUCGAGAGGAACCUGAUGAGGCGGCUGGGGCAUCUGAUCCGGAUGCCUCCCGGACGCCUCCCCGGUGAGGUGUUCCGGGCACGUCCCACCGGAAAGAGAGCCCGGGGACGACCCAGGACACGCUGGAGAGACGACGUCUCUCGGCUGGCUCGGGAACGCUUCGGGAUCCCCCCGGAAGAGCUGGAAGAAGUGGCUGGGGAAAGGGAAGUCUGGGUAUCCCCGGUGAAGCCACUUCCCCCACGGAAAAGCGGUAGAAAAUGGAUGGAUGGUAAAUAUCACUUAGACACUUCAGUAACACAGCAGCAACACGCUAGCACAGCGCAAACAGAGCCGGUAAAAGUCACUUGCUCGGCACAUAUAUUCCACCGGUCUCAUUCUUACUUUUUUCCGCGAGUGCUCCCUUGCGGCCGUUAGGAAAAAAUACACAAAUUAGCCGCAUAAACCGCAGGGUUGAAACCAUGUGAAAAAAAGUUGCAGUUUUUAGGCCGGAAAUUACGAUAAUUCUUUCUUUUGUGUCCCACCAAUUUCUGGACAACACGACGUUCAUCUAUGAGCCGCUGUUUUGCUUAGCAACCGAGGUCGCAUGGGCUGAGUAAUGCGCAUCCAACUAAAGUGUCUACUUCCUGCCCAUUUUGGUUCCAGUCUGAGUCAGCCACUUAUCCUUUCGAAGUGGAUGACGAAUUUGGCGAUGAACCGAGACGAUCUGGAGUGGAAAUGCAUUAAGCGGAACAAUCCCGUCGCUGUUCUUGUUCCCAGAAGCCGACUCGUGACGUCGCUCCCGAACUGGAACCUGAACACAAAUUCUCCCCCCGGCACAACAACAACAACAACAAAAAAAAAGACAUUUCAAAGAAAUAGAAGCAGCCCAAGCAUGUACAUUUUUUUUGCCUUAAGGGGACAGAUUUGGACCAGUUUUUCAUUUCCAAAGGACCGAGUGGCUUUUUAGUCAGGCAAUCAUCCUGUUACGUACCUUUGAAGACGUCCGGAGGAGCGCGAGCUAGCGGCGUCUUCGACGAAAUGUUGUUGCGAUCAGUUGUGUCAAUGUCCUUUGAAAUUCAUAAAUAUAUUGCCAAAACACUUCAUGUGUUAGCAGUGCAAUGACCACUUUUAUUCAACAUGAAAAAUAAAGAAAUAGAACAGCUUCAAUAACAUGGAAAAGGAAAUCGACGGCAUGCAACCAAUUUUCAUAGAUAACACUUUAAACGAAGCAAAACUACACGUCACAAUAUUAAGAAAUACAGUAUUUUGUCGAAAAUAACAUUUAUUGCAUCGAAUCACAGAAAUUCACGACGUAAUCCAGUGGAACCUUGGUCUUCAUGAUUAAUUGGCUCCCGAUCCAAUUGUACGAAAAUCAAAGCAAUAUUUUUCAUAGUUAGUAAUGUAAAUCGAAUUAAUCUGUUCCAGACACCCAGUAAUAUCAACCAAAUAUUAAUUUCUGUGGGUGCGCAAUUCCAGAAAAUGAGUCACAUAAGCAAUGUAAUAACAUACAAAAAGCAGGGACAAAAUACAAGAAAAAAAAAGCGGAAUAUUCCGAAAAACUGUAGCAUACGAGAACCGAGGCUCCACUCGACUGGCAUCACAUUCCGACAUCAAAUUCAUUCGGUGUGUCGUCUCUUUGUGACGUGAGAAGUUAAAUCCACAGAAGCGACGCCGGACUGACCGAGUGGUCGACAACGUGCCGCGAAUGAACGUACAUUCAAUACAUAGCUUGGAAAAAGGUCUGACAUGGUCGAUAAUGAUCAUCUUAUAACUUAAAAAAAAAAAAAAAAAAACAGCACAAAUAUUCACUGUCUAGCAGAAUCCUUGCAUUAAUAAAACAACAACAAAAAUCUAACAAUGAGCUGAGUGCACAUUGCAUUUAGUAGAAAUUAAUAAUAUUAAUUAAUAAGCUAACUUACCUUCAUGACCGACCAGUUCCUUCACCACAAAUCAUUCCAGCUAA